GCCCGGUUAGCAUAAACAGUAAUGCAAUUGUUUUGUAAUCAAUUGAAGGGGGUGCGAUACCCCCACUGGGCU
This 72-nucleotide transfer RNA is filed under the name Cryphonectria parasitica (chestnut blight fungus). RNAcentral's name for it is "tRNA-Thr". It matches the Rfam family "tRNA". From Rfam's summary of the family: Transfer RNA (tRNA) molecules are approximately 80 nucleotides in length. Their secondary structure includes four short double-helical elements and three loops (D, anti-codon, and T loops). The record is from RNAcentral. Lineage: Eukaryota; Fungi; Ascomycota; Sordariomycetes; Diaporthales; Cryphonectriaceae.